CACGUAGUUAGCCGUCCCUUUCUGGUAAGCUACCGUCACAGUGUGAACUUUCCACUCUCACACCCGUUCUUGACUUACAACAGAGCUUUACGAUCCGAAAACCCUCUUCACUCACGCGGCGUUGCUCGGUCAGGGUUGCCCCCAUUGCCGAAGAUUCCCUACUGCUGCCUCCCGUAGGAGUCUGGGCCGUGUCUCAGUCCCAGUGUGGCCGAUCACCCUCUCAGGUCGGCUAUGUAUCGUCGCCUAGGUGAGCCAUUACCUCACCUACUAGCUAAUACAACGCAGGUCCAUCUUGUAGUGGAGCAAUUGCCCCUUUCAAAUAAAUGACAUGUGUCAUCCAUUGUUAUGCGGUAUUAGCUAUCGUUUCCAAUAGUUAUCCCCCGCUACAAGGCAGGUUACCUACGCGUUACUCACCCGUUCGCAACUCAUCCAAGAAGAGCAAGCUCCUCUCUUCAGCGUUCUACUUGCAUGUAUUAGGCACGCCGCCAGCGUC
This 493-nucleotide ribosomal RNA is filed under the name uncultured Streptococcus sp. RNAcentral describes it as "partial 16S ribosomal RNA". The record is from RNAcentral. Lineage: Bacteria; Bacillati; Bacillota; Bacilli; Lactobacillales; Streptococcaceae.